Meleagris gallopavo (turkey) is the source of this 2339-nucleotide long non-coding RNA. The record is from Ensembl. Lineage: Eukaryota; Metazoa; Chordata; Aves; Galliformes; Phasianidae.
CUACCACAUCGUAUCUGCCUCAUGCUGAUCCACUUGCUGUCAGGAGAACAAGUCCUAUCUUGGGCAGCCCUUGUGCCUACGUUGGGCAGACUCCCGUGCCUCUGCAUGCUGCACGCCCCUCCUGCAGCCUAUGGGAGAUUGAGAGAGAGCUAAUUCCAUGCAGGUUUUGAAUAAGACCAAGCUCACGCUACUGCUGUCACAAGGCUUCCUGCACUCAAACCAGGAACUCUGGCAACAUGAAAGAAUCUUCACCCACAACUUAAGCUUGAAAAUCAUCUUGCCAGUAAUGAAUUCCUUCCUUAACCAACACUUACUUUCUGGGAAUAGUGAAACAAGUGCUUUGGCCGAGUAACGUGUUGCUGUGACUUUAGAUGAACUAGGUCUGCAAGCCCUCAAUAUGACUCACCUUCAUUUCUAUCACGUGUUCCUCUGCUGCUUUGUUCUCUGCCUUUAUCACAUUGUACACAUUUGUGGCUACCCAGAAGAUGGAUGGUGUUUGUUGUAAAACAUUUUGAACGUUUUUCAAGUGAGUUACGCCCUUUCUGUAAACUCAAUAAUAAAUUACAAUGAGUUACUAAUUACUAAUAGUGUUAAAAUACUAAAUGACGUAACGAGCAAACUGCCUUAGCCAUUUCCUGUAGGAAAUAAGCAUACAGAGUUAAUUUGCAUCCAGGAACUUAUCAAAAUAGAAGUCGUUACAGGACUGGAGCUUACGUUAGAUUGACAUUAAGAAAAGGUGAGCAUGUUGGAAGCAAAAAGAUAUAAAAUAAACAUUUUUCUAUCUGCUUCUGAGGCUUGUAAUUAACUGUGUAAAUUAAAGCAGAGCUCGUGUCUUGGUAGGAAGUGUCAGUGAGGUGGCCAAUAUCAACAAGCUAGAGGGGACAGGAUUCUCUCUGUCCCAGCAUCUGACUUUUCUGCCGUUCACACCGGGAGCAAUCUAGAAGAUUACAAAUAACUUCUAUGGGUUUGGGAGCUUUGUUUUCUAAUUAAUGUCCCAUAACUCAUGCUGUGAGUGUGUCGCGUGAAGGUCAAGCACUUGGAAAUAGGAAGACCGGCCGCUGCGGGAGGUAAAAUUAGUUCUGGUGUUUUCACUGCUACUGCCCGCGUGCGGAGACCGCCCCGGUGAGCUGCAGAUGGAACCUCAGCAACGGCAUCGGCUGCUCCAGCAGGGAUCUGCGGAGGGAAGGUUUGCCCACAGCUCCGGCCGGCCGCUUCCAGCAUCCCAAUCCGCGCUCUGACCCGCGGAUUUUACGUUCUAAACGAAAAGCUGAGGCGCAGAGGGGGACAGAAGGCAUCGGUCUGUCCGCCGUUCCGCAGCCGCGUUCCUAACCCCUAACCGCUCCCGGGUUCUGCCGCCGCGGUCGCUUCAGCGGUGCCGAGGCCGCCGUGCGAGCACGAAGCUCCACAACCAAUAGUGCAGCUUCUCGGUAACCCCCGGGCUCUUCGGGGGCUUUCCAGCGCGGUUACCCACCGGCCUUUUCCCACCGCUCCGCCUCAGCGGCUGGCGGGGCAGCGGCGCGGGGGCGGACGCCGCUGCCUUCCUGCCGUUCGCCUUCACUCCCGGCGCGGUGCGCUUUCUCCCGAGCCGAGCUUCACGCGGCCGUGAAUCAGCCCCGGCACGCGGUGGCUGACUCAGCCGGCCGGCAGCUCGCCGUAAAAAGCAGACCGUUGAACAAACGCUCUCGGUAACCGUAAUCGUACGGCGCAGACGGAAAGUCACGCACCGGGCCACUCGGUCCGCCGGUAGCGCUCACCUGCUCGGACCUCUGCAGCCCCCCGCCUACGUCCCGUUACGAAGUCCUCGGGAGGCACCGAGUCCCGGGCCGCUAAGGGAAGAGGGGAGGUGGGCGGGGUCACCUUGCGCUGACCCCCCCCACCGAGCUGCGCGCGCCGGUUACUAGGGCGACAGAGGAGCGGCCAAUCGGCGCGCCCCGCGCCCUCCCUUUCUUUCUCCCGGGUGAGCGAGCGCCAAUCAGCGGGCGUUCCGGAAGCCGGCAGAAGGCGCGCGCCCGUUCUGUGGCCCUGUUCCCCGGCCUCGCUCUAGGCAGGAGCUGAGACCCGAGAGCCAAUCGGAGCGGGGGGAAAAAGCGUGAGGUGAGCGAGCCCGCGUGCCGCUCUGCCUAUAAAAUGGGGGCCGAGCGGGGGCGCGCGGCUCAUUCGCAGUUGGCGGCGGCGGCGGAAGGUUGGCGCGAAGAGAGAUAGAGGCAGUGUGAAAGCCGCCGCGCGCGUCCGCCCCAACGUCCCUUCCCUGCCGUCGCCGCCCCCUCCCACCAUGAAGACCAAGUUCUGUAACGGCGAGGCCGACCCCUCUCCUCUCGGGCUCCUCCUGGGCUGCGGUC